RNAcentral lists this transfer RNA (73 nucleotides) under Candidatus Sodaliphilus aphodohippi. RNAcentral's name for it is "tRNA-Lys". It matches the Rfam family "tRNA". Rfam says of the family: Transfer RNA (tRNA) molecules are approximately 80 nucleotides in length. Their secondary structure includes four short double-helical elements and three loops (D, anti-codon, and T loops). Lineage: Bacteria; Pseudomonadati; Bacteroidota; Bacteroidia; Bacteroidales; Muribaculaceae. The record is from RNAcentral.
GACUCGCUAGCUCAGUUGGUAGAGCAACAGGCUUUUAAUCUGUGGGUCUUGGGUUCGAGUCCCAAGCGGGUCA